This 395-nucleotide ribosomal RNA is filed under the name uncultured bacterium. Its description in RNAcentral is "bacterial SSU rRNA". It matches the Rfam family "Bacterial small subunit ribosomal RNA", at positions 505 to 898 of the family's 1533-position model. The record is from RNAcentral.
GUGCCAGCAGCCGCGGUAAUACGAGGGGUGCAAGCGUUGUCCGGAAUUAUUGGGCGUAAAGAGUUCGUAGGCGGUGAUUCAAGUCUGAUGUUAAAUACUGGAGCUUAACUCCGGCAUGGCAUUGGAAACUGGAUCGCUAGAGUGUGUCAGAGGUAACUGGAAUUCCAGGUGUAGCGGUGAAAUGCGUAGAUAUCUGGAGGAACACCGGUGGCGAAAGCGAGUUACUGGGACAUUACUGACGCUGAGGAACGAGAGCCAGGGUAGCAAAAGGGAUUAGAUACCCCUGUAGUCCUGGCCGUAAACGAUGGAUACUAGGUGUUGGCGGAUUCGACCCCGUCAGUGCCGUAGCUAACGCGAUAAGUAUCCCGCCUGGGGAGUACGCUCGCAAGAGUGAA